CUUAUACCCCCUCCGUCCGGAAAUACUUGUCAUCAAAAUGAAUAAAAUGGGAUGUAUCUAGAUGUAUUUUUUGUUUUAGAUACAUCCCUUUUUGUCCACUUUGAUGACAAGUAUUUUCGGACAGAGGGAGUACAUU
This is a non-coding RNA of Triticum urartu, 136 nucleotides long. Lineage: Eukaryota; Viridiplantae; Streptophyta; Magnoliopsida; Poales; Poaceae. The record is from Rfam.